CCUACGGGUGGCAGCAGUGGGGAAUAUUGCACAAUGGGGGAAACCCUGGUGCAGCGACGCCGCGUGAGUGAAGAAGUCUUUCUGUAUGUAAAGCUCUAUCAGCAGGGAAGAAAUACCUACCUUUGGGUCGCCCUACGGUACCUGACUCAGAAGCCCCGACUAACUACGUGCCAGCAGCCGCGGUAAUACGUAGGGGGCAAGCGUUUUCCGGAUUUACUGGGGGUAAAGGGAGCGUAGACGGCAGCACAAGUCUGAAGUGAAAUGCCGGGGCUUAACCCCGGAACUGCUUUGGAAACUGUGAAGCUAGAGUGCAGUAGAGGUAAGUGGAAUUCCUAGUGUAGCGGUGAAAUGCGUAGAUAUUAGGAGGAACACCAGUGGCGAAGGCGGCUUACUGGACUGUAACUGACGUUGAGGCUCGAAAGUGUGGGGAGCAAACAGGAUUAGAUACCCGUGUAGUC
RNAcentral lists this ribosomal RNA (458 nucleotides) under uncultured bacterium. RNAcentral's name for it is "partial 16S ribosomal RNA". It matches the Rfam family "Bacterial small subunit ribosomal RNA", at positions 338 to 795 of the family's 1533-position model. The record is from RNAcentral.